Dermochelys coriacea (leatherback sea turtle) is the source of this 1945-nucleotide long non-coding RNA. RefSeq lists it as uncharacterized. The record is from RefSeq and is a predicted model, not a curated record. NCBI's taxonomy places the organism in Eukaryota, Metazoa, Chordata, Testudines, Dermochelyidae. The transcript is spliced from 3 exons.
AGCGGGGAGGGGAGGAGCUGCUCCAGCAGUGAUACAAUCUCCUCUCCCCUGCGUGUGAAGCUGGGGAGUGGUAGUUGCCACCAUUUAUAAAACUGGCACAACAGAAGGCUGCCCUGUGAUUGGUCCCGUAAGGUUUCAUCCCAGCCAUAGGGAUCAGGGCAAGAAGGCUAGUGAUCACAAGGAUGGACUUCCACACAUCUCUCCCCCACGGAGCUGCUCAGCUAAGACCCCAAAGCCUAUCCUGUCCCAAGGCUGUGUGUAAAAAUUGGUUCAGUCUUUCUCAGAACAAGGUGAGUGAUAAUUUUCUGUUUCACCUUCUUUCCUCAUUCAUCACAAAUGGGUAAUGCUGGUCAUCUGUGGAAUUCAGAGGUGGUCCAGUAUUGUUGCUGGAGUCUCCAGGACUCGGCCAGGAACUGUUUCUCCCAACAGGGAGAAAAACAGAGUCCACUAGAGAAUCGCUUGCUAACGCAAGAGAGAAGCUGCUCCAACGACCGUUACUGGUGAUAAGAAGGAACUGAAGAGGUGGCGGGUCGGAAGGAACCUAUAUACACAGCCAUAAAAGCACCACUCCAGGGGGCUCCACAGCCAACUUGAUGGGUACUGCUAGGAAAAAACCUUCCGACGAUCGUGCGUGCGGCGUGCACACACCUACUUCAAAUUGACAUGAGCAAUCACUCGAAGAACAAGAGGAGUACCUCUUUCUGCUCCAUAUCUAAUGAAGUACAGUAACUCCCCACUUAACGUCCUCUCGCUUAACGUUGUUUCGAUCUUACAUCCCUGCUCCAUUACAGAACAUGCUUGUUUAAAGUUGUGCAAUGCUCCACUAUAACAUCAUUUGGCUGUCUGCUUUGUCCUCGGCUGGCAGCCCCCCAUCAGCUCCCCAUCCCCCAGCGCCUCCCGCCUGCUGGCAGACCCCGCAGAUCAGCGCCUUCCCCUUGCUCCCCCCGCCUCCUGCCCGUGGCAAUCAGCUGGUUUGCGGCAUUCAGGAGGCUGCGGGGAGGAGUGAGGACGUGGUGCACGGGCUCCCCCCCCCGAAUGCCGCAAACCAGCUGAUUGCCACGGGCAGGAGGCAGGGGAGGAAGGGAGGAGCCUGUGUGCCACAGGCUCCUCCCCCCUGCCUCUUGAAUGCCGCAGGACAGGUGAUCGCCGCGGGCAGGAGGCAGAGGGACCAGGGGGAAGGCCCUGAUCCGCCGGUGGGCAGGAGGUACUGGGGGGCGGAGAGGGAGGAGCUGAUAGGGGGGUUGUCAACCUGUUUAACACCUGUAUUAAAUUGCUUGUUUAAAAUAUAUAUAAUGCCUUUUGUCUGGCAAAAAAAAAAAAAAAAAAAAAAUUUCCCUGAAACCUAUCCCCCCCAUUUACAUUAACUCUUACGGGGAAAUUGGAUUCACUUAACACUGUUUCGCUUAAAGUCCAUUUUUCAGAAACAUAACUACAACAUUAAGUGAGGAGUUACUGUAGAUGAAUCCUUCAUGAACACAAGCCUAAGCACUACACAAAAAACAAGCUUAAAUGACUAUACUUGCAAAAAUAAUAAGAUUAAUCCUCCAUAGGGGCAGAUUGGAUUAUAUGCCUGCACUGGCAGGCUAAAAGAGAGGAAAUAGAGUGGGGCCCUUUUUGUUCCAAAAUGCUGUCUCUGAAGAGUACAUAUGUGGUUUAACGUUUUGAAAAAAGUUGUGUGGGUGAGACUGUCUCCAUAUUCAGUCAAUUUUUUUGUCUGCUGAAUCUGCCAACAAUUGUGCCAAAUAUGAUGGUGGUUUUGUGAUAUGGAUUCAUGUCCGUUAGGUGGAGAUCAAUAAUUUAUUUCAGACAGGCUACUAAGAUGUAGAGAGAUUAGUGAAAAUGAAACAAGAUAAUCUUUACAUCAGUAAUACUCAAAUAUCAGUUGUGUAAGUAGAAUGCAGUUUAUUAUCUAACAUUUAAAAGAGUGAUUUAAAUAUGUUUACCU